UUUCAGAAAUUGGAAAAGCACAGGUUGUUUUACACAUGUUUUCUUUUACCAUUAAUGCAUGCUAAUUAUUGUUUGAUUAUUCUGUUCUGUGGUGCGGUGAAUACUUUUUACGAUCAAAACAAAUUACUUGGAUCCUUUAUUAUUAUUAUUAUUUAAGUUAUAAUUUUUUUUUGUCUUUCUUUUUUUCAAGGAAUAUUACUAUGCCUAAAAAUGAGCAAAGUCAGAACUGAAAGAGCUUCUUCAGAGCUUUGGAAGGUUGCAGGUUUAGCUGUUGUUUGUGUUAUAUGUUUCACCUCUAAUGCUUUUGUGGCUUUGUUAACUGACAUUCCUGCGGUGUGUUUUGCUUUAAUGGGCAUUGGCAGCUCAUUUCAUGCUCAAGAAACUGCUGUGAGUGGGUAAUUAGAGAGUCGAGUGUGGUAAAUACUGUUCUUUUCCUGUGUACUGUGUUAUGUUUGGGGUCAUUUGGGACAUGUUACGUUCUGAUUCUUUUGAGAUCUGCAUGUAAAAGCCUCAACUUAUCUAUUUGCAUACAUUUGUUGAAAACAUCAGGUUCUGGCCUUCGGGUACUGUGUGACUUCAGGCCAUCAACUACAGAGGUUAACAUAACAAUAAAGCUUUUACUUGUGUUGCUUUUCUCGACAGUGGAGUUUUGUUGUCUCAGUUCACGUUUUGGUGGCAUGAUAGACAUAGAAUAUGUCGAGGACGUGGCUAAUAUUUCUAAUGUGUCUGGGAUUACUACCCAUUCUUUGCAACUGUACAGUCAUUGCUGACCACUAGACCGUCUCCCUGCAACUGUACAGUCAUUGCAACUGUUGUUUAUUUCUUUGUGUUGAAGUAGUAACUUUUAACUAUGUUGAAUAUUUAAGACUCCUUGAAUACUUAAAGAACAUUUUGUUGUUGAUGACAGUGUUGAAUGUUUUAAACUAAUUUGUGGAUUGUUAAUACAAUGUUGAAUGUU
Molecule: long non-coding RNA, 958 nt
Organism: Humulus lupulus (European hop)
Lineage: Eukaryota; Viridiplantae; Streptophyta; Magnoliopsida; Rosales; Cannabaceae
Exons: 3
Source: RefSeq, a predicted model, not a curated record